This 253-nucleotide ribosomal RNA is filed under the name uncultured bacterium. Its description in RNAcentral is "partial 16S ribosomal RNA". It matches the Rfam family "Bacterial small subunit ribosomal RNA", at positions 524 to 776 of the family's 1533-position model. The record is from RNAcentral.
AACGUAGGAGACAAACGUUAUCCGGAGUUACUGGGCGUAAAGGGCGUGUAGGUGGUAAUGUAAGUCUGGCGUGAAAUUUUUCGGCUUAACCGGGAAAGGUCGCCGGAUACUGCAUCACUAGAGGACGGUAGAGGCGUGUGGAAUUCCGGGUGUAGUGGUGAAAUGCGUAGAGAUCCGGAGGAACACCAGUGGCGAAGGCGACACGCUGGGCCGUACCUGACACUGAUGCGCGACAGCAUGGGGAGCAAACAGG